CACCUACGGGUGGCAGCAGUAGGGAAUAUUGCACAAUGGGCGAAAGCCUGAUGCAGCAAUGCCGCGUGAGUGAUGAAGGCCUUCGGGUCGUAAAACUCUUUUCUGAGGGAAGAAUGGUUGGAAUAGGAAAUGAUUUCGACGUGACGGUACCUCAGGAAUAAGCAACGGCUAACUCCGUGCCAGCAGCCGCGGUAAUACGGAGGUUGCGAGCGUUGUUCGGAAUUACUGGGCGUAAAGGGAGCGCAGGCGGUUUGGUAAGUCUGAAGUGAAAGCACGGGGCUCAACCCCGUCGGGUCUUUGGAUACUGCCAAACUUGAGUACGUGAGAGGAGAGCGGAAUUCCAGGUGUAGCGGUGAAAUGCGUAGAUAUCUGGAGGAACACCGGUGGCGAAGGCGGCUCUCUGGCACGAAACUGACGCUGAGGCUCGAAAGCAUGGGGAGCGAACGGGAUUAGAUACCCCGGUAGUCCAUGCCGUAAACGUUGUGUACUAGGUGUGAGAGGUAUCGACCCCUCUCGUGCCGCAGCUAACGCAUUAAGU
Molecule: ribosomal RNA, 538 nt
Filed under: uncultured bacterium
Lineage: Bacteria
Description: bacterial SSU rRNA
Rfam family: Bacterial small subunit ribosomal RNA
Source: RNAcentral